UACGGGGGGGGCAAGCGUUGUUCGGAAUUACUGGGCGUAAAGGGCUCGUAGGCGGCCAACUAAGUCGGACGUGAAAUCCCCGGGCUUAACCUGGGAACUGCAUUUGUGACUGCAUCGCUGGAGUGCGGCAGAGGGGGAUGGAAUUCCGCGUGUAGCAGUGAAAUGCGUAGAUAUGCGGAGGAACACCGAUGGCGAAGGCAAUCCCCUGGGCCUGCACUGACGCUCAUGCACGAAAGCGUGGGGAGCAAACAGG
Molecule: ribosomal RNA, 253 nt
Filed under: uncultured bacterium
Lineage: Bacteria
Description: partial 16S ribosomal RNA
Rfam family: Bacterial small subunit ribosomal RNA
Source: RNAcentral